Molecule: ribosomal RNA, 346 nt
Filed under: uncultured Fusarium
Lineage: Eukaryota; Fungi; Ascomycota; Sordariomycetes; Hypocreales; Nectriaceae
Description: SSU rRNA
Rfam family: Eukaryotic small subunit ribosomal RNA
Source: RNAcentral
GUAGUCAUAUGCUUGUCUCAAAGAUUAAGCCAUGCAUGUCUAAGUAUAAGCAAUUAUACCGCGAAACUGCGAAUGGCUCAUUAUAUAAGUUAUCGUUUGUUUGGUAGUACCUUACUACUUGGAUAACCGUGGUAAUUCUAGAGCUAAUACACGCAUAAAAUCCCGACUUCGGAAGGGAUGUAUUUAUUAGAUUAAAAACCAAUGCCCUUCGGGGCUCACUGGUGAUUCAUGAUAACUCCUCGAAUCGCAUGGCCUUGUGCCGGCGAUGGUUCAUUCAAAUUUCUUCCCUACCAACUUUCGAUGUUUGGGUAUUGGCCAAACAUGGUUGCAACGGGUAACGGGGAAU